CCGGUAUUAGAACUAUGGCCAAUCAGAUGCCAGCUUGAUAUGGAUUUGGCCAGAGCCCCUCGUCGCGCUCGGUCGAACGCGCGUAAGAAGGGCUCUGGGUACGAGAAUGAGCCCAGGACAAUCGCGUUCCCCGAGCCUGCGAUCCUCGGGAAGGAACGUGAGGCUCUGGGAUAAUCCGUUGCCGGAAGCCAGGAAUCGUGGCUAAGAUCGAACUGCGCAUUCCAUAUCAACGGCCAACUCAGUCAGAUUCCUCCCUGUGAAACGGAUUAUCCCAGAGACCCACGUUCCUUCCCGAGGAAUGCAGGCUCGGAUCCAAUCUCGUACCCAGAGCCAUCAACGAUGGUAGUCACGUAUUUGUUACUGGGGACAUUUCAAGCUCUAGAUUACAUAGAAUACAUGAUAAUGUAAGAUCAAGUAAAUUUAGAAUCGUAAACUGCGUCAAAAAAUACCAACUUUGUAUUAUACCUUAGCCUAGGACAAUUUAGUACUAUUUUAGAUCACAAUAGGCACUCCCCCAAUCUCCUACACUGCACACAAAACAAUAGCUCGAAAUCGAGGCCAUCUGUGUAAUCAUUGUGUAAUCACAUUCUCGUACCCAGAGCCUUUCUUAUGCGCGGUGCGACGAGGGGCUCUGGCCAAAUCCAUAACCGGAUACCAUAAAAACAUGGUAAGAAAACAAUGUCCGGUGUUAGAACUAGCCAAUCAGAUGCCAGUUCGGAAUAUGGAUUUGGCCAGAACCCCUCGUCGCACCGCGCGUAAGAAGGGCUCUUGGUACGAGAAUGUGUGUAAUCACUAUAUGUAACGCCAGGGCAUUUUUUAAGAAAUUACAACUACUGGGGCUAAGACGCUAAGUCUCAAUGAGGGCCUUUUCCCCACACAAUUAUGCGUACAUAGAAAUCAUCCUGUGACCAGGAGCAGUGCUAGCGCUAUUUGAAUAGGGGAGGGUGUAGUGAAAUUUUUGCCUACUAAUUUCAAACGCUAAUUGGUAUUUCUUUUCCCAAAAUAGUUGGCGAGCGAGCUGGAAGGGGGUGUUUCACGGCUCAACAUCACGUUAACGUACCAUUGUUUGUUUAAUUUUUCCGUAAUUUUAGCUACAAUUAUUAGAUUUUAAUUUUAUCAGUGUCAAUGAAAUGUUUUAGUUUCUUUCCUUCCUAUCCAACUGGGAUUAGAUAAUUUGCCUACUACCUGACAAUUGGGGGUGUUCCACACCCACAACCCCCUUUUAGCGCCGCCUUUGCUGACUUUUGUAAGAGAGAAUGUCGAAAAUGUGAGAGGGUAUGAGAAAGCAGGCAGAUGCAACUUUCCCAACAAGGUUGACUUUAUACUAAUGAUCAAAAGGGCCCAGCUCAUCUGAAAAUCAUGCUUCACUACUGGGGCAAGCAAAGGGCCUACUGGGGGUAAAUGCAGGGACGUGUGAGAGGGUUCUCCGCCAGGCGAUUGUGCUGUUCUUGAAGCUCGAUGACUGCAUUUCUUGCGUUUUCUGAAGCGAAUUUGUAAACGAAUUGCACUAACAUUUCUGACAAUUCGCUAAGGCAAUCCUUUAAAUUGAAAGGGCACCUUUGCCCCCCCCCCUUGCCCCUCCUUGUAAAGGGCAACGGGGGCGGCUGCCCCUCCUGCCCCCCCCCCCCAGUUCAGUUCCGGCGUCCCUGGGUAAAUGGCCUACUGGGGUAAAUGCCCCAGUAGUUAUAGUUAAAAAAUGCCGUGAUGUAACCACAUGUAGUUUUUUUUUCAUUGCCAGCCAGGAAAUUGGGGAAGUAUCUGUUGAGAAAAUAAAAUAUAACUAGAGUAGUGUAAUAUAAUUGUGGAAUGGGAUUAAAUGUAGUUAGUUGAAGAUGAAGCCAUUUUUUAUGGUCAAAACUUUAUUAGCAUUAUAGGAAGCCUGUAUAUAGUCUAGUGUAAACAAAAUGAAAUAUAUCUUUA
Non-coding RNA from Paramuricea clavata, 1920 nucleotides. The record is from the annotation of a GenBank genome assembly. Lineage: Eukaryota; Metazoa; Cnidaria; Anthozoa; Malacalcyonacea; Plexauridae.